RNAcentral lists this transfer RNA (73 nucleotides) under Felis catus (domestic cat). It matches the Rfam family "tRNA". Rfam says of the family: Transfer RNA (tRNA) molecules are approximately 80 nucleotides in length. Their secondary structure includes four short double-helical elements and three loops (D, anti-codon, and T loops). The record is from Rfam by way of RNAcentral. RNAcentral also lists the same sequence under 1 other name. Lineage: Eukaryota; Metazoa; Chordata; Mammalia; Carnivora; Felidae.
GCCUGGCUGGCUCAGUUGGUAGAACAUAUGACUCUUCAUCAUGGGGUUGUGAGUUCGAGGCCCAUGUUGGGUG